CUACGGGUCGCUCCAGUGGGGAAUAUUGGACAAUGGGGGAAACCCUGAUCCAGCAAUGCCGCGUGUGUGAAGAAGGCCUGCGGGUUGUAAAGCACUUUCGGUUGGGAGGACUGCUUCUAGCACUAAUAUUGUUGGAAGUUGACGUUACCUUCAGAAGAAGCACCGGCUAACUCCGUGCCAGCAGCCGCGGUAAUACGAGAGGGUGCAAGCGUUAAUCGGAAUUACUGGGCGUAAAGCGCGCGUAGGCGGCUAGAUCAGUCGGGUGUGAAGGCCCCGGGCUUAACCUGGGAACUGCAUCCGAUACUGUCUAGCUUGAGUACAGGAGAGGAGAGUGGAAUUCCACAUGUAGCGGUGAAAUGCGUAGAUAUGUGGAGGAACACCAAUGGCGAAGGCAGCUCUCUGGCCUGAUACUGACGCUGAGGUGCGAAAGCGUGGGGAGCAAACAGGAUUAGAUACCCUAGUAGUC
Molecule: ribosomal RNA, 466 nt
Filed under: uncultured bacterium
Lineage: Bacteria
Description: partial 16S ribosomal RNA
Rfam family: Bacterial small subunit ribosomal RNA
Source: RNAcentral